CCUACGGGAGGCAGCAGUGAGGAAUAUUGGUCAAUGGGCGGGAGCCUGAACCAGCCAAGCCGCGUGAGGGAAGAAGGUACAGCGUAUCGUAAACCUCUUUUGUCAGGGAACAAAGGCGGGGACUAGUCCCCGGAUGAGGGUACCUGAAGAAAAAGCAUCGGCUAACUCCGUGCCAGCAGCCGCGGUAAUACGGAGGAUGCGAGCGUUAUCCGGAUUUAUUGGGUUUAAAGGGUGCGUAGGCGGCCUUUUAAGUCAGCGGUGAAAGUCUGUGGCUCAACCAUAGAAUUGCCGUUGAAACUGGGAGGCUUGAGUAUGUUUGAGGCAGGCGGAAUUCGUGGUGUAGCGGUGAAAUGCUUAGAUAUCACGAAGAACUCCGAUUGCGAAGGCAGCUUACUAAACUGCCACUGACAUUGAUGCUCGAAAGUGUGGGUAUCAAACAGGAUUAGAUACCCCUGUAGUU
Molecule: ribosomal RNA, 460 nt
Filed under: uncultured bacterium
Lineage: Bacteria
Description: partial 16S ribosomal RNA
Rfam family: Bacterial small subunit ribosomal RNA
Source: RNAcentral